Potamilus streckersoni is the source of this 71-nucleotide non-coding RNA. The record is from the annotation of a GenBank genome assembly. Lineage: Eukaryota; Metazoa; Mollusca; Bivalvia; Unionida; Unionidae.
GCUCUGGUGGCUUAGUGGUUAGAGCGUCCGCCUCUGAUGCGGGAGGUCGCGGCUUCAAACCCCGCCGAGCC